RNAcentral lists this long non-coding RNA (860 nucleotides) under Felis catus (domestic cat). Its description in RNAcentral is "lncRNA (ENSFCAG00000042094.2)". Lineage: Eukaryota; Metazoa; Chordata; Mammalia; Carnivora; Felidae. The record is from RNAcentral.
CAGCCUUUGUCUUCAAAGUGCUUUCUGCAAAGUAUUAAGUGGUGUUUGGCUUUUUUUCUUUUUCAUUUUUCUCUUUUUGGAGGGGAGGAGAAGUCAAUGAGAUUUUUGAAUAGGCUCAGAACAGAGAGGUCACUUUUGAACAAAUGACAUGUAAGGCAAGAUAAAUUUACAUUUUUCAACCUCAUGAAAAACAAGGACAGCUUUGUCUGGGAUUCACUAAGAAGUCAUUGAAGGUAAGCGCCGGCUGCUUACUGGUCACGAUGGAGUAAAACCCAGAGAAAUGUGAGGUAAAGAGAGUUUAUAUGUAACCAUAGGUUGAACAUCCCCAACUCCCCACAAAAGCCUUUCAUUUCCAUUUGGAGUGAGUACACGAUAACCUACACCGGCCAGCCCCUCAGUCACCAAGCAAAGCUCUUGACAUUUGCCUAAUUAUCUUUUCUCAUCAUCAGUCAUUUCUUGAAGUCUCAGCUUCAUUCAGAUGCCAGGUAUUUCCGAAAUUAAUCAUGACAUUGAAAGCGGCAUCUUUUCAUGUAAACGGACUUUAUUAUCUGGAUCAGAAAGCCCCCUCUUCGAGUAGCGAAAGCCCAUUUGUAGGGAAAGUGUCUGAAAUCUGACAUGCUGCCUUCCCAAGAAAGAUUCUUCGUGUUGACCUCCCAGCAAGCACCAAGCAUUCAUCACUGUGAGCUUAUGUGCAUUUUACAAACGUUUGAAGGCCCUGAACUAUACCAACACAUGGCUUUGCCCAGCCUCUCGGAAUUUACAAAGGGGAGGAAGAAAAUGCUUCGAAGAGCUUGGUAAAGUGCCCUCAAACUCAAUUUUUAUGUAUAUAAAAUAAAGGAUGGGCAAAUGAGGAAUUAGCA